GUGCUCGCUACGGCAGCACAUAUACUAAAAUUGGAACGAUACAGAGAAGAGUAGUAGCAGGGCCCCUGCGCAAGGAUGACACGCAAAAUCGUGACGCGUUCCAUAUUUUU
Molecule: small nuclear RNA, 110 nt
Filed under: Balaenoptera musculus (blue whale)
Lineage: Eukaryota; Metazoa; Chordata; Mammalia; Artiodactyla; Balaenopteridae
Source: RNAcentral